GCCUCGGCCUCGGGGCGCAAGGAUCCGGGAUUCCCCUCGGAACAGCGGUUGCUCCUGUAAGGCAGCACAACGUCUCGUGACUGCUAGUGCGACCGGAAGCCGUCUUGCUCCGCGAAAGAACUAGUUCCUAGUUCUUGCUGCCUCCUUCCCAGGUGCCAGGGCCGGAAACCCCGCUGAGGGCCCAGUUGGGCACACUGCGGCCCGCCCAGCAGCCGCGCGGUUCGGCAAGGCCGGGAGAGGCCCCGCCGGCGUGUGGAGGGACAGGUGCGGCUGGGCCAGGCCCGUGGCAGCAGGGUGAUGGGGCAGGAAGACGGAUUAAUACCCCAGACCCGCCGAAAUGGCAUUUUAUGGGGAAGAUAUUAACGGGUCACCAUAAACCCCGUGCGUGCUGCUAUCGCUCCCCUACGUCACCGCAGGGAGCUGUGGCGGCUGCAUCACGGUGCAGCGUCCAGUGAGCCGCCCUGUCCCCUUCCGGGGGGAAGUGUCCGCUUCGUGCUCGGGCCGGGUAGAGGUAGCGCUGGCCGCUCGGGCCUUUACACUUGUUAAAAAACGGUUACGGGGCACGAGCCCUGAACCUAGAAUUACGUUAAGGGGGGGGGGGGUCACUACUUGGCCCUAAAAAACUUUUCCACGUAUUUUUACAUUUUUAAACAAGCAGCACAGAGCCUGGUUUAAUGCCCAAACUGCAGCCGUCAGAAUAAAUGAGAAACUACGUUCCACGCCUCUCCUUGACAAGCUAAGUCCCAUGGAGAUGAAAUUCUGAAGCAGAGGGAAAGGAGGGCAGUAAUACAGCACCCACAGGAACACAAAUCACCAAAAAGAAAACCUCAUUACAGUACAAACGAACAAAGAUACUCCAGAGCCUCCAGGAUGGAACAGUUGACAGGAGACAGGCGAUAGUAAGUGCACCAGUGAUGAAAUUUUUUCUAUUUCCCAAGGUAAGUUUUCCUAGUGGAUUAUUUUCUGGUGUUCAUUAGGACUUUUUGAAUCUCUCUGGAACAGGAGAAUUCUAGACCCGAGAGCCAUCUAGGAAUCAAGCCUUGAGCCAUAGUGUUCAGACUGGGAUGACAAACAUUCCCCAAAGCUUGAGUCAGAAGACUGGGCAUCAGCAGGAGACUGAUGGCUGGCUGAGAGGAGAGAAAUCCUGAUGAUUAGCAGUGUUGGAGAAGAUUCUUCAACCAAGAGAAGAGAAAGGCAUCCCCCAGAGAAAGGCAACUAAGGCCUCCCCGGGAGCUGAAUUUCAUACAUUUCUGGUUGGCAGUGAUGGUAAAAAGGUCUCCAAUGUUCAGAAGACCCCAAGUGUACAUAUGCCCAGCAAAUGAAAGUUUGCCUUACAGUCCUUCAGCAAAUGCAGACACUCAUCCAUGGAGUUGCUGAACAAGAUACAACCGCAUUUGCUCCAAUCCCUCUGACAGAGACAAACACCUACAAGAUCUCUAUCAAGCAUUCUUACAACUACAAUACCCACCUGCUGAAGUGAAGAAACAGAUUGACAGAGCCAAAAGAGUACCCAGAAGUCACCUACUACGGGACAUGCCCAACAAAGAAAAUAACAGAACGCAACUAGCCGUCACCUUCAGCCCCCAACUAAAACCUCUCCAGUGCAUCAGCAGAGAUCUAUAACCUUUCCUGAAAAAUGAUCCCUCACUCUCACAGAUCUUGGGAGACAGGCCAGUCCUUGCUUAGAGACAGCCGCCCAACCUGAAACAAAUACUCUUCAGCAACCACACAACAAACACACUAACCCAGGAACCUAUCCUUGCAACAAAGCCCAAAGCCAACUCUGUCCACAUAUUUACUCAAGUGACACCAUCAUAGGACCUAAUCACAUUAGCCACACCAUCAGGGGCUCAUUCACCUGCACAUCUACCAAUGUGAUAUAUGCCAUCAUGUGCCAGCAAUGCCCCUCUGCCAUGUACAUUUGUGUAGAGACUGUCCGGUUUGGCCAAAGAAUAAAUGGACACAAAUCUGACAUCAGGAAUCAUAACAUUCAAAAACCGGUAGGAGAACACUUCAACCUCUCUGGCCACUCAGUAAAAGACUUAAGGGUGGCAAUUCUGCAACAGAAAAGCUUCAAAAACAAAAAAAUACACAUAUAUAUAUAUACACACACACACAGAAGGUAUAUCUAUUUAUCUCUUCUUACUAUAUGUUCCAUUCUAUGCAUCCGAUGAAGUGGGCUGCAGCCCACGAAAGCUUAUACUCUAAUAAAUUUGUUAGUCUCUAAGGUGCCACAAGUACUCCUGUUGUUUUUGCGGAUACAGACUAACACAGCUGCUACUCUGAAACCUGAAUAAUUUAAGACUAUCAAAGGGGAUGUCUUCUACAGUGUUUUGGAUUUCACGCUUUAAUCCUACAGACUGCAGCCAUGUGGCUCAGCUCAUGACUUCAGCUGUGCCGAUGAAAUGGGGGGCUGUAUUGAGAGUUAUCCUUGCCAGAAGCUGUCCCUCUGUGAUGAGGGCCUGAAAUAGUUCCCUAUGCUCUGAUGGGAGAUCUUCGUAAAGGAAUUAAUUCUAAAUAGCUAAUGUGAUUAUAUUUUGCAAGAAUUGUCUGGUAAUUAGCAAUUCUGAAAUGCAAAGUGGCAGGUAACUCUUGUGACGAAAGAUAUCUAAGUGCUUUGAAUCUUUAUCAUACAGGGUAGCCUUCAAAUUGCAUUGUCCGUUGAAUAUUUAUUUACUGCAUCGACAACUAAGGGAGUUGGGACAGGAUUGGCAAAUAAAAAUUCUGAAUCCCUAGCUGGAACAUGGUACUUUUUUUUUUUUUUUUUUAAUAAAAAAGAUGGGGGCGGGGAAUGCAGUGGUGGCAGGAGUUUGCCAAAUUGUUCUUGGCAGGUUCUAACAUCUCCUUGUAUAUAGGAAGAGCAACAUACGCUAAAGAUGGCGUGUGAAGAAUGUCCAGCAGUUUAUACUGAGUCUCUUGCACUUCUUGUAACGCUUUUGAAAAGUUAUCUGCCACUCUUUUCAUCAAUUCCUAAUGUUUGAAGUCACCAGCACUAGAUAAAGAGGGCCUAACAACUUCAUCUCGGGAGGAUGAUGAACUAGUUGUCUGAGGGGUAGCCUCUUUAUCAUUUCACCUUUCUUGCUCCUCAGACGUCCCCUCCUGUGGUGGAGAUUGCUAUAUGGAAAUUGAGAGAAUUAAGGAGCGCUGUCCCUAGCAUUCCCUGCAAGUGCGGGGUACCAUGGAGAACUGUUGUCAAUAGACAGCUCAAAGGUCCUAAUGUGGCCACGAGGAGAGGAGAGCAUAAGGGACUGAUCAUACCAAGGAGGUUACUGAGCAGAUUGAGGUUGCACAAGACUGGAAGUAUCCUUCAGUGGAGCAGCUUCAGGAGAAGCUGGUUUAGGCAUGUAAUCAUAAGAGCCCUGAAUAGAAACUUGAGGAUCUGGAGAAUUCUUUGCAUAGUUUAAUGGAGGAGCAAUGGUUAGCCUCUCUGAAUGCAUGGGUACCAAGGAAUCAUGUGGUAUCAGCAAGGUAUUGGAUACAGUGGAGAUCAUGGUAGCAGGAGUCUAACUGAGCUCAAUAAAGGAGUGUCAAGGCUGAUUCCGCACUCUGGAACUUGGAGUACAGAAGGUGGGGGCCCGCAAGGAUUCUAAA
Molecule: non-coding RNA, 3591 nt
Organism: Caretta caretta (loggerhead turtle)
Lineage: Eukaryota; Metazoa; Chordata; Testudines; Cheloniidae
Source: RefSeq, a predicted model, not a curated record